GUAACCGGGCCUUCGACUUUGCUCAUGUUAGGACGAGGUUCUCCUCCUGUCCCUAAUGCGGCUGUAGGGGCACAUAUGGGCACUGCUGGGCCCUUCCCCCCAUCCGGUCUAGGUGUAACCGGACCUUCGACUUUGCUCAUGUUAGGACGAGGUUCUCCUCCUGUUCCUAACAUGGCUGUGGGGGCACAUAUGGGCGUUGCAGGGCCUCUCCCCUCAUCCGGUCUAAAGAAAAUCGGGCCUUCGACUUUGCUCAUGUUAGGAUGAGGUUCUCCUCCUGUUUCGAACAUGGCUGUGGGGGCACAUAUGGGCGUUGCAGGGCCUCUCCCCCCAUCCGAU
Molecule: long non-coding RNA, 336 nt
Filed under: Elaeis guineensis (African oil palm)
Lineage: Eukaryota; Viridiplantae; Streptophyta; Magnoliopsida; Arecales; Arecaceae
Description: long non-coding RNA (EGUI_LNC051808)
Source: RNAcentral